AUUGAACGCUGGCGGAAUGCUUUACACAUGCAAGUCGAACGGCAGCACGGGGCAACCUGGUGGCGAGUGGCGAACGGGUGAGUAAUACAUCGGAACGUGCCCAAUCGUGGGGGAUAACGUAGCGAAAGUUACGCUAAUACCGCAUACGAUCUACGGAUGAAAGCGGGGGAUCGCAAGACCUCGCGCGAAUGGAGCGGCCGAUGUCAGAUUAGGUAGUUGGUGGGGUAAAGGCUCACCAAGCCAACGAUCUGUAGCUGGUCUGAGAGGACGACCAGCCACACUGGAACUGAGACACGGUCCAGACUCCUACGGGAGGCAGCAGUGGGGAAUUUUGGACAAUGGGCGCAAGCCUGAUCCAGCCAUGCCGCGUGAGUGAAGAAGGCCUCGGUGUAAG
Molecule: ribosomal RNA, 394 nt
Filed under: uncultured bacterium
Lineage: Bacteria
Description: bacterial SSU rRNA
Rfam family: Bacterial small subunit ribosomal RNA
Source: RNAcentral